This 254-nucleotide ribosomal RNA is filed under the name uncultured bacterium. Its description in RNAcentral is "partial 16S ribosomal RNA". It matches the Rfam family "Bacterial small subunit ribosomal RNA", at positions 524 to 776 of the family's 1533-position model. The record is from RNAcentral.
UACGGGGGGAGCAAGCGUUGUUCGGAUUUACUGGGCGUAAAGGGCGCGUAGGCGGCCACCGCAAGUCAAUUGUGAAAUCUCCGGGCUUAACUCGGAAAGGUCAACUGAUACUGCGGGGCUAGAGUGCGGAAGGGGCAACUGGAAUUCUCGGUGUAGCGGUGAAAUGCGCAGAUAUCGGGAGGAACACCGGUGGCGAAGGCGGUUCUCUGGGCCUUACCUGACGCUGAGGAGCGAAAGCGUGGGGAGCGAACAGG